RNAcentral lists this ribosomal RNA (327 nucleotides) under uncultured bacterium. RNAcentral's name for it is "bacterial SSU rRNA". It matches the Rfam family "Bacterial small subunit ribosomal RNA", at positions 32 to 332 of the family's 1533-position model. The record is from RNAcentral.
AAUCAACGCUGGCGGCGUGCCUCAGACAUGCAAGUCGAACGCGAAAGUUUCCUUCGGGAGAUGAGUAGAGUGGCGCACGGGUGAGUAACACGUAGGUAAUUUACCUUUGGGUGGGGAAUAACAAUCGGAACGAUUGCUAAUACCGCAUAAUGCAGCGGCUCGACAUCGAGACAGUUGUUAAAGCGGGGGAGUUUCGGUACCUCGUGCCUAAAGAAGAAGCCUGCGGCGGAUUAGUCNGUUGGCGGGGUAAGUAGCCCACCAAGGCAACGAUCCGUACGCCGGCCGUGAGGAGGGCGGUCGGGCCACACUGACACUGAAUAACGGGUC